UACAGAGGUCCCGAGCGUUAGGCGGAAUCACUGGGCUUAAAGCGUGUGUAGGCGGAUUUGUAAGUACCUUGUGAAAUCCCACGGCUCAACCGUGGAACUGCUUGGUAUACUGCUUAUCUUGGGCCACUUAGGGGUUACCGGAACAAACGGUGGAGCGGUGAAAUGCGUAGAUAUCGUUUGGAACGCCAAUGGUGAAAACAGGUAACUGGGAGUGUGCCGACGCUGAGACACGAAAGCUAGGGGAGCGAACGGG
RNAcentral lists this ribosomal RNA (253 nucleotides) under uncultured bacterium. RNAcentral's name for it is "partial 16S ribosomal RNA". It matches the Rfam family "Bacterial small subunit ribosomal RNA", at positions 524 to 776 of the family's 1533-position model. The record is from RNAcentral.